RNAcentral lists this small nuclear RNA (327 nucleotides) under Vulpes vulpes (red fox). RNAcentral's name for it is "7SK RNA (ENSVVUG00000001993.1)". It matches the Rfam family "7SK RNA". From Rfam's summary of the family: 7SK was discovered as an abundant small nuclear RNA in the mid-70s but a possible function has only recently been suggested. The record is from RNAcentral. Lineage: Eukaryota; Metazoa; Chordata; Mammalia; Carnivora; Canidae.
GGAUGUGAGGGCCAUCUGGUUGUGACGUCUGUCACCCCAUUGACUGCCAGAAUUGAUUCCGCAGACCUGGCAGGCUAGGCAGGUGUCCACUUCCUCCCUCACCACUCCAGGUGUGUCCCUCCCUAAGCUGCACACUUGGUGGAAGAGGAUGACCUUCCCCGAUAGAGGAAGAUCAUUCUUCCAUGAAGGGCAUAUGAGCAGCUGUGCUCCCCUACAGGAACCUCCAAACAAGCCCUCAACGUCCAUUUGUAGGAAAAUGUAGGAUAGUCAAGCUUCCAAGCCUGCAGACACUUCCAAAUGAGGCAUUGCACGUGGCAGUCUGCCUUU